CGUGGAGCAGAGAGGGCCUUCCUGUACCAGGAUCUACAAACAGAAGGGGUUGUGCAAUUCAGGCUGCCACACCUGGGAAACAGGUUUUCCAAAUGCCUGGAGAUCUGCCUGAGCAUGGAGCAGAGAGGAUCUCACUAUAUUAUGAUCUAUGUCCAUAAGUGCUGGGGCAGCUCAGGCUGCUGAAGCAGAUGGCUGGGUGCUCAGAAUGUCUGGUGAUCUGCCUGAGUAUGAACAGAGAGGGUUUCCUUGCACCAAGAUCUCUGGACAGUCUUGAUGGUCCUAGUGAGCAAUUCUCCAAAAGUCUAGAGAUCUGUCUGAGUAUAGAUCAGAGAGAGUUGCACAAAGGUCUCUGCACAGGAUGGGUGGGGCGACUCUGGAUGCUGAACUAAGCAAGCAGGUGCUCUGAAACACCUGGAGAUUUUCCUGGGUGUGUAGCAGAGAGGGUUGCUCUGCAUCAGUCUCUACACAGGAAAGAAAUAUGGGAUAUAAUUCUGCAAAGGGCACUUUACUGGACUACUCAUUUUCAAGAGAGCAAAUUCUGUAAAUCCUGCAUAAAAAGAAGAACCGAAGAUAUGCAUAUUAAUGGGGAAUUCAGUGGCUGCAUUGUGACCAAGACACCACACAUUCAGCAAAAGGACAGAACACUUUAGAGGAUUUUGAAACUUAAGGCACAGAAUAACAUUCUGUUUUAAAAACAAAUGAACAAACAAAAACAGCUGCUAACUGCCAAUGGCAUUUUUUCACAGAACCAGGAAAAAAAAAACUAUUUUAAAUUUACAUAGAAUAAGAAGAGUCUGAAUAGCCAAGGCAAUUCUAAGCAAAAAGAACAAAGCUGGAGGUAUCACACUACCCAAUUUCUAACUA
Long non-coding RNA from Callithrix jacchus (white-tufted-ear marmoset), 864 nucleotides. RefSeq lists it as uncharacterized. The record is from RefSeq and is a predicted model, not a curated record. Lineage: Eukaryota; Metazoa; Chordata; Mammalia; Primates; Cebidae.